Acanthosepion pharaonis is the source of this 107-nucleotide non-coding RNA. The record is from the annotation of a GenBank genome assembly. Lineage: Eukaryota; Metazoa; Mollusca; Cephalopoda; Sepiida; Sepiidae.
UUACGGUUAUAUCACGUUGAAACACAGGCUCCCAUUCAAUCACCGAAGUUAAGCAAAGUCGAGCCUCGUCAGUACUUUAAUGGGUGACCGCUUGGGAAUACAAUGUG